RNAcentral lists this long non-coding RNA (1103 nucleotides) under Olea europaea subsp. europaea. Lineage: Eukaryota; Viridiplantae; Streptophyta; Magnoliopsida; Lamiales; Oleaceae. The record is from RNAcentral.
AACCUUAAGGGUCCCCCACCACCCCUGCUCUGAAGUAUCGUGAGGGAGGUAAAUCGCAGGUUAUGCCUCCAAGGGUACAGGGUGGAAGACUGCUUGUACACUUGCACUUACCCAAGAGCCAAAUCCAUAUUUCAGAAUUCGAACCCUUGACGCAGAAGUCUCAAGUAAAGUUGGAUUUCUCCAUCCUCUCUUUUUACCACUUGGAGAUGUGUCCUGGGGGCGGAUACUGUCCUUAACUCACUAGGCUCGUGACUUGCAUGAGCUUGUUUAUAUAUAUAAAAAAAGAGAAAAAAAAAAUCUUUUAUAAAAUUGAGUUUGGUGGACCGCCAAAUAUGACACGGCUCAAGUCAGUAUGAAUCUUUGGAUCUCACAUCUUUUUAUACGAUUAAAGCAGGUACGGCUCAUACAAAAAUAUGAGACAUAUCAAGUACAGUGGCAGAUGUAGCGACAGUAGCGUCCCCCAGCCCAAUUCAUCUUUUAAGAAAAAAUAAUUUUUUUUAUGUGUAAUUUUUUUCCGCAUAUUAGCCUGUCUUAAAAUUUUUUCUGAAUCUACUCCUAACCAAGUAUCUAGAUGUAAUGGUGAAUCGAGUAGAAUAAAGCGACUCUACCAGAAAAUGAUUUACACCCUAUAUGACAGAUACUCACAUGUGUGUGGGUCUUAAGCCAACCCUACAUGAAUAAAAAAUACAAAAAGCCGUGGUCCCCGCCUCUUCAUGUUUCUGGUCUGUCAAGAAGGGUGUAAAUACCCUUUUAUACGACCGGCAAGAUCGUAUCGAGUAUUGAUCAAGUGUUACGUGUUAUAAGACAAGGAUAAAAAAUCAUUGCAUAGUUCGAUUAAGGUAUCAAGUAUAUUAUAAUGAAAGGACGAAUUGCAAAGGCAUUGUCCAGUUAAUAUUGGACCACGCUAUAGGUCCAGGGCCCAUGUGACCGUGAACAAGAAUCUUUACCCGUCAAUAUUUAGCUAUCUUCAUCAAUUUAAAAUUGCAGAAAUAUUAACUAAUUCCUAAAGUCAUUGUCUUUUAAAUUUCGGUGAGUUACAUGAAUUAUACGUUAUCUUGAUGAUUACUUCUGCAGGGAAAUACCUCAAAUUGACCUAAAUAAAG